Molecule: non-coding RNA, 166 nt
Organism: Caenorhabditis elegans
Lineage: Eukaryota; Metazoa; Nematoda; Chromadorea; Rhabditida; Rhabditidae
Source: Ensembl
GAAUUCAAUGAGUCACUUUAUUUUUAGAUACUAAAAUGUAAGAAGACGAAAAAAUAUUCAAGAAUUUUUAAGAAAAUGCGGUUGUUCCAAAUCCAGAUCCAGAAAAUUACAUUACUAUCUAAAGUAUUGAAUACAUUACUUUAGAUAGUAAUGUAUUCAAACUUUU